AGUGAACGCUGGCGGUAGGCCUAACACAUGCAAGUCGAACGGCAGCACAGUAAGAGCUUGCUCUUACGGGUGGCGAGUGGCGGACGGGUGAGGAAUACAUCGGAAUCUACUUUUUCGUGGGGGAUAACGUAGGGAAACUUACGCUAAUACCGCAUACGACCUACGGGUGAAAGCAGGGGAUCUUCGGACCUUGCGCGAUUGAAUGAGCCGAUGUCGGAUUAGCUAGUUGGCGGGGUAAAGGCCCACCAAGGCGACGAUCCGUAGCUGGUCUGAGAGGAUGAUUCGCCCCACUGGAACUUAGGACCGGUCCCGACCCCCUCGGGAGGCCACAGUGGGGAAAUUUGGACAAUGGGGCGAAGCCCUAUUCAGGCAUACCGCGUGGGUGAAGAAGGCCUUCGGGUUGUAAAGCCCUUUUGUUGGGAAAGAAAAGCAGCAGGUUAAUACCCCGCUGUUCUGACGGUACCCAAAGAAUAAGCACCGGCUAACUUCGUG
This 492-nucleotide ribosomal RNA is filed under the name uncultured bacterium. Its description in RNAcentral is "partial 16S ribosomal RNA". It matches the Rfam family "Bacterial small subunit ribosomal RNA", at positions 29 to 507 of the family's 1533-position model. The record is from RNAcentral.